This is a long non-coding RNA of Papaver somniferum (opium poppy), 684 nucleotides long. RefSeq lists it as uncharacterized. The transcript is spliced from 2 exons. Lineage: Eukaryota; Viridiplantae; Streptophyta; Magnoliopsida; Ranunculales; Papaveraceae. The record is from RefSeq and is a predicted model, not a curated record.
AGCAACAUGGGGCAUCUUAGUCUUUUCAAGAAUUGUUCGUGCAUUUAGAAAAAUAGUCGCUCUGAUUCACUCUGAUAAUCUGAUUUUAUUACUGGGGGUUUAAGAUAAGAUUUUCCACAUCGACGAACGAAGUUAUAAAGUUUAUUCAUGGGUAAGGCGAAGGGUGGUUCAGUUUUCAUCAGGCUAGUCUCGGCUGCUGGGACUGGAUUCUUUUACGUGAAGCGAAAGAACCCACGAAAGAUGGUAGAAAAGCUCGAGUUCCGGAAGUACGAUCCUCGCGUAAACAAACAUGUACUGUUUACAGAGGCAAAGAUGAAGUAAGAAAGUGAGAAUCUCUUAGGCAGUAUGUUCUAACAGAGCCAGUAAAACAAGUUCCGAUGAAGAAUCACUGUUAUUCUGAUAAAUUUAGCGUCGCCAUUGCUUUUGGAUAUUGCAUUAGUCUUGCUUUUUUUUUUUAUCUAAUAACCAUAAUGGAAAUUGGUAUAGAGAAAUACAUCAAUAUUCUGACUGUUGGCCAAGUUAUUUGGCUGGGCAUCUUUUGUUGCGGAAAAGAUAGCUAGUAAUAUUGGAUUUUUGGAACAGAUUGGAUGCUUCCGUCCAAAGAUGGCGCUUUUUGAAUUUGAAAAAAUUGAUGUAUUGUGUUUAUGGAAACCUCUGUUAAAAAACUGAUGCGUCGUUUUUGGG